This 430-nucleotide ribosomal RNA is filed under the name Pseudomonadota bacterium. Its description in RNAcentral is "Proteobacteria bacterium partial 16S ribosomal RNA". It matches the Rfam family "Bacterial small subunit ribosomal RNA", at positions 355 to 776 of the family's 1533-position model. Lineage: Bacteria; Pseudomonadati; Pseudomonadota. The record is from RNAcentral.
UGGGAAAUAUUGGACAAUGGGGGGAACCCUGAUCCAGCCAUGCCGCGUGUGUGAAGAAGGCCUUAUGGUUGUAAAGCACUUUAAGCGAGGAGGAGGGUACUGGUAUUAAUACUACCAGGUACUGGACGUUACUCGCAGAAUAAGCACCGGCUAACUCUGUGCCAGCAGCCGCGGUAAUACAGAGGGUGCGAGCGUUAAUCGGAUUUACUGGGCGUAAAGCGUGCGUAGGCGGCUAAUUGAGUCGGAUGUGAAAUCCCCGAGCUUAACUUGGGAAUUGCAUUCGAUACUGGUUAGCUAGAGUGUGGGAGAGGAUGGUAGAAUUCCAGGUGUAGCGGUGAAAUGCGUAGAGAUCUGGAGGAAUACCGAUGGCGAAGGCAGCCAUCUGGCCUAACACUGACGCUGAGGUACGAAAGCAUGGGGAGCAAACAGG